Molecule: non-coding RNA, 101 nt
Organism: Acanthosepion pharaonis
Lineage: Eukaryota; Metazoa; Mollusca; Cephalopoda; Sepiida; Sepiidae
Source: the annotation of a GenBank genome assembly
ACGUUCAAAUACCGGUUCCCGUACGUCCACGGAAGUUAAGCAAAGUCGAGCCUGGUCAGUACCUAGAUGAGUGAACGCUUAAUAAUAACAGGUGCCGUAAG